CAGUCGCCGCGGGAAAACGUAGGUCCCGAGCGUUGUCCGGAUUUAUUGGGCGUAAAGCGAGCGCAGGCGGUCAAUUAAGUCUGAUGUGAAAGCCCCCGGCUCAACCGGGGAGGGUCAUUGGAAACUGGUUGACUUGAGUGCAGAAGAGGAGAGUGGAAUUCCAUGUGUAGCGGUGAAAUGCGUAGAUAUAUGGAGGAACACCAGUGGCGAAGGCGACUCUCUGGUCUGUAACUGACGCUGAGGCUCGAAAGCGUGGGUAGCAAACAGGAUUAGAUACCCCCUAGUCCCUGUCUCUAUACAC
RNAcentral lists this ribosomal RNA (301 nucleotides) under uncultured bacterium. Its description in RNAcentral is "partial 16S ribosomal RNA". It matches the Rfam family "Bacterial small subunit ribosomal RNA", at positions 509 to 809 of the family's 1533-position model. The record is from RNAcentral.